This 252-nucleotide unclassified non-coding RNA is filed under the name Cryptococcus sp. (in: basidiomycete fungi). RNAcentral describes it as "Cryptococcus sp. (in: Fungi) partial contains 5.8S ribosomal RNA, internal transcribed spacer 2, and large subunit ribosomal RNA". Lineage: Eukaryota; Fungi; Basidiomycota; Tremellomycetes; Tremellales; Cryptococcaceae. The record is from RNAcentral.
CGCACCUUGCACCCUUUGGUAUUCCAAUGGGUAUGCCUGUUUGAGUGUCAUGAAUACUCAUCCACCUCGAGUUCUUCUCGGUAGGUGUGAUGGUUUGGGUGUUUGCCAGUGAGCUUGUCUCUGGCUCGCCUUAAUAGCAUAAGUGAUGAUGUAUGAGAUGUAAUACGUUUCGUCUCAGUCCUCAGCAUCGCUCAUAAACCUCUUUACUUUCAAUCUGACCUCAAAUCAGGUAGGGCUACCCGCUGAACUUAA